CUACGGGAGGCAGCAGUGGGGAAUUUUGGACAAUGGGCGCAAGCCUGAUCCAGCCAUGCCGCGUGCAGGAUGAAGGCCUUCGGGUUGUAAACUGCUUUUGUACGGAACGAAAAGGUUUCUUUUAAUAUCAGGGAACUGAUGACGUACCGU
This 150-nucleotide ribosomal RNA is filed under the name uncultured Xylophilus sp. Its description in RNAcentral is "partial 16S ribosomal RNA". It matches the Rfam family "Bacterial small subunit ribosomal RNA", at positions 339 to 481 of the family's 1533-position model. Lineage: Bacteria; Pseudomonadati; Pseudomonadota; Betaproteobacteria; Burkholderiales. The record is from RNAcentral.